GUCUUGUACAUGUACCAGCUCCUAGAUGA
Molecule: non-coding RNA, 29 nt
Filed under: Rattus norvegicus (Norway rat)
Lineage: Eukaryota; Metazoa; Chordata; Mammalia; Rodentia; Muridae
Source: RNAcentral